UUGUUCAUUGCCAGCAACUUGAGGUUGCCUGCGACCCUGAGGAUUUUGGAAACCUGGCAUCUCCUCUCCUUCAUUGUCCUAAGGAGAGCGUUGGCUGGAACGGGAAGGAUUAUCUUGAAGCACAGGCAGCAAGGCUGUGAAGGGUACAGCAUGGAUGCAGGGAAUCUGUCUCUGUUUCCCCUGGUCUGCCUGUCUGCCUGCAUCCUAAUGUGCUUUUCGAAGGAUGGACUCCCAAAGAGGCUGUGCUGUCUGGGAGUGUGGAGAGAGCCAGUGUCAGUACCAGCAAACCUGGAAUGAAAGAACAGUAGAGAAUUAAAGUCUUCUUCUGGGUAAGGCCCAUCCUAAUCAAGCAUAGGAGAUGUGAAAAACAAACAAAAAAAAGGGCAUGGUUCAUAUCAAGACAGCAUCUCCCUUCGUCCUAUACCUUACUCUCUUUUCCUCUAUUUUUUUUUUUUUAAAUCUCGUGUCAUAUUUUUAUUUUAUAUUAUUGCCUCUGGUGGUAAAUUGUUGAUGCUCUCGGGCUUUUGAAC
RNAcentral lists this long non-coding RNA (530 nucleotides) under Anser cygnoides (Swan goose). RNAcentral's name for it is "lncRNA (ENSACDG00005006671.1)". Lineage: Eukaryota; Metazoa; Chordata; Aves; Anseriformes; Anatidae. The record is from RNAcentral.